CCUACGGGUGGCAGCAGUGGGGAAUUUUGGACAAUGGGCGCAAGCCUGAUCCAGCUAUUCCGCGUGUGGGAAGACGGCCUUCGGGUUGUAAACCACUUUUGUAGAGAACGAAAAGUCUAUUGAUAAUACCGAUAGACGAUGACGGUCCUAUAAGAAUAAGCACCGGCUAACUCCGUGCCAGCAGCAGCGGGAAAACGUAGGGGGCGAGAGUUAACCGGAAUUACUGGGCGUAAAUGGGGUGCAGGAGGUUUUGCAGGAUGGAUGUGAAAGCCCCGGGCUUAACCUGGGAAAGCCAUACAUGACUGGAAGACUAGAGUGCGUCAGAAGGGGGUGGAAUUCCAAGUGUAGCAGUGAAAUGCGUAGAUAUUUGGAAGAACACUGAUGGCGAAGGCAGCCCCCUGGGACGCAACUGACGCUCAUACACGAAAGCGUGGGGAGCAAACAGGAUUAGAUACCCCUGUAGUC
This 465-nucleotide ribosomal RNA is filed under the name uncultured bacterium. Its description in RNAcentral is "partial 16S ribosomal RNA". It matches the Rfam family "Bacterial small subunit ribosomal RNA", at positions 338 to 795 of the family's 1533-position model. The record is from RNAcentral.